UGGAAUAACCUCGGGAAACCGUGGCUAAUACCGGAUACGAAACGGAGCUGCAUGGCUGCCGUUUGGAAAGUUUUUCGGUUUGGGAUGGACUCGCGGCCUAUCAGCUUGUUGGUGAGGUAAUGGCUCACCAAGGCGACGACGGGUAGCCGGCCUGAGAGGGCGAUCGGCCACACUGGGACUGAGACACGGCCCAGACUCCUACGGGAGGCAGCAGUGGGGAAUAUUGCACAAUGGGCGAAAGCCUGAUGCAGCGACGCCGCGUGAGGGAUGACGGCCUUCGGGUUGUAAACCUCUUUCAGCAGGGAAGAAGCGAAAGUGACGGUACCUGCAGAAGAAGCACCGGCUAACUACGUGCCAGCAGCCGCGGUAAUACGUAGGGUGCGAGCGUUGUCCGGAAUUAUUGGGCGUAAAGAGCUUGUAGGCGGUUUGUCGCGUCUGCUGUGAAAAUCCGGGGCUCAACCCCGGACUUGCAGUGGGUACGGGCAGACUAGAGUGUGGUAGGGGAGACUGGAAUUCCUGGUGUAGCGGUGAAAUGCGCAGAUAUCAGGAGGAACACCGAUGGCGAAGGCAGGUCUCUGGGCCUCUACUGACGCUGAGAAGCGAAAGCAUGGGGAGCGAACAGGAUUAGAUACCCUGGUAGUCCAUGCCGUAAACGUUGGGAACUAGGUGUGGGUCUCAUUCCACGAGAUCCGUGCCGCAGCUAACGCAUUAAGUUCCCCGCCUGGGGAGUACGGCCGCAAGGCUAAAACUCAAAGGAAUUGACGG
RNAcentral lists this ribosomal RNA (765 nucleotides) under uncultured bacterium. Its description in RNAcentral is "bacterial SSU rRNA". It matches the Rfam family "Bacterial small subunit ribosomal RNA", at positions 139 to 916 of the family's 1533-position model. The record is from RNAcentral.